GAUGAUCCGCCACACUGGGACUGAGACACGGCCCAGACUCCUACGGGAGGCAGCAGUGGGGAAUAUUGGACAAUGGGGGGAACCCUGAUCCAGCCAUGCCGCGUGUGUGAAGAAGGCCUUAUGGUUGUAAAGCACUUUAAGCGAGGAGGAGGCUACUUUAGUUAAUACCUAGAGAUAGUGGACGUUACUCGCAGAAUAAGCACCGGCUAACUCUGUGCCAGCAGCCGCGGUAAUACAGAGGGUGCGAGCGUUAAUCGGAUUUACUGGGCGUAAAGCGUGCGUAGGCGGCUUAUUAAGUCGGAUGUGAAAUCCCCGAGCUUAACUUGGGAAUUGCAUUCGAUACUGGUGAGCUAGAGUAUGGGAGAGGAUGGUAGAAUUCCAGGUGUAGCGGUGAAAUGCGUAGAGAUCUGGAGGAAUACCGAUGGCGAAGGCAGCCAUCUGGCCUAAUACUGACGCUGAGGUACGAAAGCAUGGGGAGCAAACAGGAUUAGAUACCCUGGUAGUCCAUGCCGUAAACGAUGUCUACUAGCCGUUGGGGCCUUUGAGGCUUUAGUGGCGCAGCUAACGCGAUAAGUAGACCGCCUGGGGAGUACGGUCGCAAGACUAAAACUCAAAUGAAUUGACGGGGGCCCGCACAAGCGGUGGAGCAUGUGGUUUAAUUCGAUGCAACGCGAAGAACCUUACCUGGCCUUGACAUACUAGAAACUUUCCAGAGAUGGAUUGGUGCCUUCGGGAAUCUAGAUACAGGUGCUGCAUGGCUGUCGUCAGCUCG
This 772-nucleotide ribosomal RNA is filed under the name Acinetobacter sp. L1(2012). RNAcentral's name for it is "bacterial SSU rRNA". It matches the Rfam family "Bacterial small subunit ribosomal RNA", at positions 299 to 1062 of the family's 1533-position model. The record is from RNAcentral. Lineage: Bacteria; Pseudomonadati; Pseudomonadota; Gammaproteobacteria; Moraxellales; Moraxellaceae.